Molecule: ribosomal RNA, 498 nt
Filed under: Bacillus sp. (in: firmicutes)
Lineage: Bacteria; Bacillati; Bacillota; Bacilli; Caryophanales; Bacillaceae
Description: bacterial SSU rRNA
Rfam family: Bacterial small subunit ribosomal RNA
Source: RNAcentral
UCCGGGAAACCGGGGCUAAUACCGGAUAACAUUUUGAACCGCAUGGUUCGAAAUUGAAAGGCGGCUUCGGCUGUCACUUAUGGAUGGACCCGCGUCGCAUUAGCUAGUUGGUGAGGUAACGGCUCACCAAGGCAACGAUGCGUAGCCGACCUGAGAGGGUGAUCGGCCACACUGGGACUGAGACACGGCCCAGACUCCUACGGGAGGCAGCAGUAGGGAAUCUUCCGCAAUGGACGAAAGUCUGACGGAGCAACGCCGCGUGAGUGAUGAAGGCUUUCGGGUCGUAAAACUCUGUUGUUAGGGAAGAACAAGUGCUAGUUGAAUAAGCUGGCACCUUGACGGUACCUAACCAGAAAGCCACGGCUAACUACGUGCCAGCAGCCGCGGUAAUACGUAGGUGGCAAGCGUUAUCCGGAAUUAUUGGGCGUAAAGCGCGCGCAGGUGGUUUCUUAAGUCUGAUGUGAAAGCCCACGGCUCAACCGUGGAGGGUCAUUGGAA